GCGGUCGGCCUUCCCUCCUUCGCUCCUUUUUUAUAUUAGUGAUUUUAAAGGGGACUCUUCAGGGACUUGUGUACUUCUCCCCAGCCUACUGCCUGGAGGGCACCUGCAGGCCCCGGCCCAUGGGGGCAGCUCGUGGCCUCAGCUCACCCCUCCCCUCCAACCCCUCCAUCUCCUUCCCCUUGACCUUGAAGCUUGAACCCCUACUGGAGUACUGGGUAUCCGCCGCCCAGGAGGCCUGACCCCUACCUUUCUUGCACACUUCGGCCCGUUGAGGUGAGGCUCUGGCUGAAAUUCAAACCUCUACUUAGCACACACCCGGCCCCCCAGAGAGCUCCCCCGAGCACAGAGCCGCCUUCAGGUCCCUCUGUGGGAGUGGUUUGGGGGAAGGAAGAGGGGAUGGGGCGAAGCUGCAAAUGCAGAGCAGAGGCCGAGGUGGGGGAGGGUGGGAGUUGGCUGCUGUCAGCUGCUGUGGGCCCCAGCGUUGGGGUGGAGAUGGAGGUGGAGGCCCCUGUGUGCCCCAUGGGGAAGGCUGCCCGCACACUGCUAUCUUGAGCUUGCGUUUUGCCCUUGUCACCUCCUCACUGGGAGUCCAGGUCCUGUUGGGCUCAGAGUCUUCAGCAGUGAGGGCAGUGGCUCAGCUCUUCCUGCAGCUUGGGCUGGUGUGUGAGGGGCUGGAGGGCAGGAGGGUCUGCAGGGCCCUGCCAUCUUGCUCAAACCCUUACUUGCUCUCUGGAUUGGGUUUUAUUUGAUGUGGGGAUGGGAACACCACGUCUGGAUGACCUGGGACCCUAACCUCUCAUAAACUCUGAGUCACUGAGGUAGAGGUGGGAAGAGCAGGGCUUCUUCCUGACUGCCCUAUUUGGGCUUUCUUGCUUUGUUUCUUUCCUUCCUUUCUUUCUUUCUGAUGGAGUUUCUCUCUUGUUGCCCAGGCUGGAGUGCAGUAGCGUGAUCUCGGCUCACUGUAACCUCCACCUCCCGGGUUCAAGCGAGUCUCCUGCCUCAGCCUCCCAAGCAGCUGGGAUUACAGGUGCCCGCCACCAUGCCUGGCUAACUUUUGUAUUUUUAGUAGAGAGAGGGUUUCACCAUGUUGGCCAGGCUGGUCUAGAACUCCUGACCUCAGGUGAUCAGCCUGCCUUGGCCUCCCAAAGUGCCAGGAUUACAGGCAUGAGCCACUGCACCUGGCCUAUUUGGGCAUUUUAAAAGGGCUUUUUCCCACGUGUCACCUGUGCAGCCAAGUCCCUGCUUUCUCGGGAAGUGGGGGAAGGGUAAGCAGCUGUAAACACUGCAUCCCAUUAUUCUGAACUCUCAGCACUUAAGGCUCCAGCUGUGAUUUGGAGCCUAGAGACAGGGACUGUGUCCCAUGUGCCAAAGCCAGAAUCGGGGCUCCCGAACAUGCCUCGGUGUCCUCUGGAGGAAAGGGAAGGUGAUGGUGCUCCAUUCACUGCUGGGGUCCUGUCGGUGAGGGCAGUGGGCAGGGCGGCCAGACCUGCGGAUAUGGGUGGUAGGCUGUGAC
This 1513-nucleotide long non-coding RNA is filed under the name Homo sapiens (human). RNAcentral describes it as "non-protein coding lnc-CAPN1-1:3". Lineage: Eukaryota; Metazoa; Chordata; Mammalia; Primates; Hominidae. The record is from RNAcentral.